AUGCUCUUGAUAUCAUCUACACCGUAUGGAUUUUCCAUCUCAAAGUUACCUCAUAGUUUUUAAUUUUUGACUUUUCCUAUCUGAUAAAUUAGUUGCCAUGUGCUGGGACUUUCACUUGCAUUGAUGUUGGCUUUAUUAUGCUCUGUCAGCUCUACUCAACUCUGAUUAAACCAUGGUGUUCAUUCCAUUGCAACUGUUGUAUGGGCUUGGAUUCCAUGUGGGAUGUUGGUGUUUGUCUAUAAGUCAGAUGUAAUCUUCUUUUUGUCCUUGUACAUGAUUUUUUUUGCAAAAACAUUUUUAAACAGUGCUUAUACAUUUAUUAAAAGGGUUCUUAAUUAUGUAUGGUCGAUUUUGUGGAUUGCAAAAUUGACGCUGUAAGGGGGUACUGCCAUACUGGUUGAUGUCUCUCUGUGUAGGGUUUAAACCAUAAAUUGAUAACUAUGAUGUUUCUUGAAAGUCUUAAGACAAUGAUAUUGGCUAUUGAAUUUGAAGGUCUUGCUAAUUUGAU
This 508-nucleotide unclassified non-coding RNA is filed under the name Hevea brasiliensis (rubber tree). Lineage: Eukaryota; Viridiplantae; Streptophyta; Magnoliopsida; Malpighiales; Euphorbiaceae. The record is from RNAcentral.